GAAGAUCCCAUCAGGCUGAGAGGGGGGUGUUCACAAGAGGGGGGUUCCAGGGGAGGUCUGCCCAGUCGCACCCGCCCUCCCCCGCUGUUGAAGCUGCUGUCUGUACCUGCAGUAAGAACACCCACAGCGAACACGCGGCUCAUGGCUCCAAUCAGCACCCAGUCAGGAGCCUCGGCUUGAUAAAUGGUGAUGAAUGUAGACCGGGAUUAUAAGAGAGAGCUUUGGCGGCGGCCCCGCCGGCCCUCCCUCACUUCUCCUCGGUGCCACACAUACACGCGCGCACUAAUACGCCUCUCCCCACCUGCCAUU
Molecule: long non-coding RNA, 309 nt
Filed under: Volvox carteri
Lineage: Eukaryota; Viridiplantae; Chlorophyta; Chlorophyceae; Chlamydomonadales; Volvocaceae
Description: long non-coding RNA (VCAR_LNC002693)
Source: RNAcentral